This 483-nucleotide ribosomal RNA is filed under the name uncultured bacterium. RNAcentral describes it as "partial 16S ribosomal RNA". It matches the Rfam family "Bacterial small subunit ribosomal RNA", at positions 30 to 507 of the family's 1533-position model. The record is from RNAcentral.
UUGAACGCUGGCGGCAGGCCUAACACAUGCAAGUCGAGCGGAUGAAGGGAGCUUGCUCCUGGAUUCAGCGGCGGACGGGUGAGUAAUGCCUAGGAAUCUGCCUGGUAGUGGGGGAUAACGUCCGGAAACGGGCGCUAAUACCGCAUACGUCCUGAGGGAGAAAGUGGGGGAUCUUCGGACCUCACGCUAUCAGAUGAGCCUAGGUCGGAUUAGCUAGUUGGUGGGGUAAAGGCCUACCAAGGCGACGAUCCGUAACUGGUCUGAGAGGAUGAUCAGUCACACUGGAACUGAGACACGGUCCAGACUCCUACGGGAGGCAGCAGUGGGGAAUAUUGGACAAUGGGCGAAAGCCUGAUCCAGCCACGCCGCGUGUGUGAAGAAGGUCUUCGGAUUGUAAAGCACUUUAAGUUGGGAGGAAGGGCAGUAAGUUAAUACCUUGCUGUUUUGACGUUACCAACAGAAUAAGCACCGGCUAACUUCGUG